CCUUAUAACAGCCCCAAACUGUAUGGAUUGGACUGUGUCCCUGUCUGCUGAGAAGCCUGCCGGCUGCUGUGAGUGCAAUUGCUGGCCCUGAUGCUGACGGAGCCAGUUCUUCGGGUCAGCUGGGAACACUUGGCAGUCGGUCCUCUGAUGGGGGCAAAUUUGCAGAGGGGGCUGGGCCUGAAGAGGUCACAGUUUAUUCACAGGCCCAGGAGGGAGCUAGAUUAGGUCUGAAGGAAGUCAGCUCUCUUAUCCACAGUGCAGGUAGCUGAGUCUAUCAGUUUUCCCCUGUGUUGGCACUCAAUUUUCAUAACACAAUUUGUAAUGUGAUAAGGUCUGCACAGUAUUAAUAGUGGCAAUAGCGUGGCAAGGUUAUUCUUGCGCAGUUUUCAUAAAAAAGCAAGGGGCUACUCUGUUGAUGGAGUGUAUUAUCUAGGAUUUUAGAACCAGGACACAAUCUCUCUCUCAAGUGUGUGCAGACUCUACUAAAAAAACUUCUUCCUGCAGAGAUAAGCCUGCCUUCCAACCUCCACCCCCAGCUCUCCACUGAUGUGGAGACCAAGUUAACAUCUCCCUUGCUUCUGCAGGGGUUUCACAGCGUGUCAGCUGUGGAAAGGAAUGGACUGGAAUCUGGGAGUGUGUCACAUGGGAGAAGAGUCAUCGCCAAGGAGUCCUCCACCUGGGAGGAGAGACCGAAUUUCAGCCGAAGGUGACAAAGCGCUGAAGGGUCCAAAGGAGGAGGGAGAAGAGGACUGUGAUUGUGGAUAACAAAUGAACUGACUGAUAACAAGCAUGGAUUCACACGGUUCCAGUUGAAACAACACCUGGAAAGAAUAAAGACUGAUGAAUAUGGGUAAGAUUCUAGUAAUUUUUGAUAAUUCUCCAAAUUUACUUUUUACCUUGCCAAUAUACUUCCAUAGACUAGAUUUUUUUUUCAUGUAUA
RNAcentral lists this long non-coding RNA (940 nucleotides) under Ovis aries (sheep). RNAcentral describes it as "lncRNA (ENSOARG00000025604.1)". Lineage: Eukaryota; Metazoa; Chordata; Mammalia; Artiodactyla; Bovidae. The record is from RNAcentral.